This 22-nucleotide microRNA is filed under the name Caenorhabditis elegans. RNAcentral describes it as "cel-miR-8194-3p". Lineage: Eukaryota; Metazoa; Nematoda; Chromadorea; Rhabditida; Rhabditidae. The record is from miRBase by way of RNAcentral.
GUACACUCUUAAAGGCGCAUGC